Long non-coding RNA from Athalia rosae (coleseed sawfly), 455 nucleotides. RefSeq lists it as uncharacterized. Lineage: Eukaryota; Metazoa; Arthropoda; Insecta; Hymenoptera; Athaliidae. The record is from RefSeq and is a predicted model, not a curated record. The transcript has 2 exons.
CGUUGCGUUAGGAGCACGUAUAUCGCACGUUUGGUUUACUAACAGUCUUCAUUGGUUUGAUUUCUCCGGCAAAACCUAAAUCGAAUGAAAUUGUACGGGAGGAAUUGAAUUCCGGCGACGAUGUGUAACGAGUAUAAAACCGCCACCGAUUCUCUCGGAGUAGAAAACGAGACUAACCAACGAAACUAAAGAGAGCGAGGUACGAAAAGUGCAAGAGUAGCAGCUGUAGGGCCGCCGUAGGAGCAUCGAGGCGUGUAGCGUCAGCAGGUGCACUACGUGAGAUGCUCGAGGAUGUUUUCGACAAUGUCCGAUACGUACUGGCAAUCGGUGCAACGAGGGGAAUUUCUAUGUAAUCGAUUGGAAACAUGGAGCUAAAACAAUGCCAAAAAAAAAGCAUAUGAACAAAUAAAUAAAGCUCGAGGAUUAAAUAACUGAAUAAAUGUCGCGUUGAGUAA